GAAAGGAUCAUUUGGGAGUCAUUCCAGUGGAGAACAGUGACCUUGGACAAGUCAAUUCUCGGGACCCACUGAUCCAGAGCAGUCUGGGGCUCCCUGAGCCCCUGGGAAAUACAGUCCUCUGAGAACUCCCCGGCAUUCCCGGGAGAACAGGUUCCUGGCUCUGGAGCACACAGAGACAACACCAGCCAACAGCCCAGACCAGAACAAAGAUCCAUGCUGCUGCAAGCAGGCUAGGAGUUGGACAACCUGGACAGCAACAAGAGGAGGGGCAAGGAGGAGGGGGUCCCCCUCGGCCUGCAGGCACUCACCCUGAUCCUGAGUCUCCCUUGAGCUGCAGCGAGAAGCUGCCGGGCACCCAGGUGCUCCCGUCCCUCCUGUGGCCCAUUAAAAAGGCGAGCCCCCUCCCCAACCCCUGGCCC
RNAcentral lists this long non-coding RNA (419 nucleotides) under Fukomys damarensis (Damara mole-rat). RNAcentral's name for it is "lncRNA (ENSFDAG00000027736.1)". Lineage: Eukaryota; Metazoa; Chordata; Mammalia; Rodentia; Bathyergidae. The record is from RNAcentral.